This 210-nucleotide long non-coding RNA is filed under the name Mytilus galloprovincialis (Mediterranean mussel). The record is from RNAcentral. Lineage: Eukaryota; Metazoa; Mollusca; Bivalvia; Mytilida; Mytilidae.
CGUGUGUAUCAUCGUAAGUGUAUCGUAACCAAGAAGAGUGCUUUCUUUCACGUCCGCACUUUUAUCGAGUAUGGCAUGCCAAAUAAACAUUUUUUUAAAUAAUUAUCAUGGAUGGCGAAUUAUGGCGAUAUUUUUGUAUCAACAUUAAUACAACUAAAGAAUUUUAGUCCGUUUUCAAUAUUAAUUCAAGAUAUAUGACGCUUACAGUCA